UUUUUUUUUUAAUGCAAAAAAAAGGGGACAGCAAAUGAAGCAAUUCGUCUGAACAUUUUAAAGUUUCUCACGUACUCUUUACAUUGCAAUGGAUGAGUUCCAUCCUUUCAUCGAAGCUCUUCUGCCCCACGUCCGAGCCUUCGCCUACACGUGGUUCAACCUGCAGGCCCGAAAACGAAAAUACUUCAAAAAACAUGAAAAGCGUAUGUCAAAAGAAGAAGAGAGAGCCGUGAAGGACGAGCUGCUGAGCGAAAAGCCUGAGGUCAAGCAGAAGUGGGCGUCUCGACUCCUGGCCAAGUUACGGAAGGACAUCCGACCGGAGUACCGGGAGGACUUUGUUCUCACGGUCACGGGGAAGAAGCCCGCGUGCUGCGUGCUCUCCAACCCCGACCAGAAGGGCAAGAUGCGGCGCAUCGACUGUCUGCGCCAGGCAGACAAAGUCUGGAGGUUGGACCUUGUCAUGGUGAUUUUAUUUAAAGGUAUCCCGCUCGAAAGUACUGAUGGGGAGCGCCUGGUCAAGUCGGCCCAGUGCUCCAACCCGGGGCUCUGCGUCCAGCCGCACCACAUAGGGGUGUCUGUGAAGGAGCUCGACUUGUACUUGGCGUACUUUGUGCACGCGGCAGAUUCAAGUCAAUCUGAAAGUCCCAGCCAGCCAAGUGACGCUGACAUUAAGGACCAGCCAGAAAAUGGACAUCUGGGCUUCCAGGACAGUUUUGUCACAUCAGGUGUUUUCAGUGUGACGGAGCUGGUGAGAGUGUCGCAGACACCAAUAGCUGCAGGAACUGGCCCAAAUUUCUCUCUGUCAGAUUUGGAAAGUUCUUCAUACUAUAGCAUGAGUCCAGGAGCCAUGAGGAGGUCUUUACCCAGCACGUCCUCUACCAGCUCCACGAAGCGCCUCAAGUCUGUGGAGGACGAAAUGGACAGUCCUGGGGAGGAGCCGUUCUACACCGGCCAGGGCCGCUCCCCGGGCAGCGGCAGCCAGUCCAGUGGCUGGCACGAAGUGGAGCCAGGAAUGCCGUCUCCGACCACACUGAAGAAGUCGGAGAAGUCUGGGUUCACCAGCCCCUCCCCUUCGCAGACCUCAUCCCUGGCCACGGCAUUCACACAGCAUCACCGACCUGUCAUUACGGGACCCAGAGCAAGUCCACACGCAACACCAUCGACUCUUCACUUCCCGACGUCACCCAUCAUCCAGCAGCCUGGGCCCUACUUCUCACACCCAGCCAUCCGCUACCACCCUCAGGAGACGCUGAAAGAGUUUGUCCAGCUUGUCUGCCCUGAUGCUGGUCAGCAGGCUGGACAGGUGGGGUUCCUCAAUCCCAAUGGGAGCAGCCAAGGCAAAGUGCACAACCCAUUCCUUCCCACCCCAAUGUUGCCACCGCCGCCACCACCACCAAUGGCCAGGCCUGUGCCUCUGCCAGUGCCAGACACGAAGCCUCCGACCACAUCAACAGAAGGAGGUGCAGCCUCCCCAACCUCACCGACCUACUCGACACCCAGCACCUCCCCCGCAAACCGAUUCGUCAGUGUUGGACCACGGGAUCCAAGCUUUGUAAAUAUCCCUCAACAGACACAGUGUUUCGUAGGGCCUGCUCUGUGCCCACCACAGGGCGAGACACUGGGGAUGCCACCUGCAAGAAGAGCGUCAGUGUUCUCAGGGAGCACACGGGUAGCUGCAGUUCAGUGACCGUGACAGAGCUCAACCCCGGACUGAAGGCCUGGAGAAAGACCCUGAGCAAGACGGGACUGCCAUCUGAGAAGGCAAGGACUAGCGGGUGUUAGCCAGACCAAGCAGGAGCUGCAGCCCGUGCCAAGGCCCAGCGGGGGAGAGCGCUUGGCUUUGGGGGAUCUGGAAGAAGUUUAACACAGCACAAGUGUUGAGCACAAGCGGUGAAAAGAUAAGGCCACAAAGUCCUGGUACCUGGGAUAAAAGUCGCAGCGUCCCACCAUCCACCAGACAGACCACCUGACCCCUUCUCAACUCUGUAACACGGACGCAUCCUCAACCCAGCGUGGUUACAACCUCACUGUCAGUGGGAGGGAGAGUCAAAUCAACUCGUACAUGCAAACAGCGAGCAUAUGGUCAAACAGCAAAGGCCAUUACCUUUUGGGAUUUUUUUUUAAAUACUUUAGGGACUGUUGUAAUUUUCUCAUAUGGUGCUGGAAAUGGUUGGGCUUUGUAACACUGAGGUGUGUCCGUGGUCGCGUGAGCAUUAGGCGAUGUGGCGAGGGGAGGUGUGCGCUUGCUCACUGACUCCCCGUGGUCACACACCCUCCUUACGGAGCCUGGCCGUUUCACAGUAUUUCAUGGAUUUACCCACAGUUGUGCACCUCCUCGAGCAGUCAGGAGGCACACAGAGAACUAAAUCUUUUGUAGUAGCUGAGAUCUGCAAUAUAUAACUUACGGGACAGUCAAAGGGCAAUGUUUUUCUGUAACAUAUUGGAAAAAGAAAAUGCAGUUAUGUUCCUUUCUUGUUUUCCUUUAGUUGGGUUUGGUUCAGCACUUAAACAUGUAACACGGCCCGCAAGGACAGUGAACCACUCACGUCGCAGAACAAAUCCGAAAUGGCAAACUACUACUACUACUAUUCAGUUUUUUAAAAGUUUUGAAAUGCUGCACUUACAUCUAAAAAACCAUUUUUUUCAACAAUUUUCAACAAUGACACACAAAUUCACAUGGAAAUGGGGAAGAUGGUCUGUUUUGACAGAAACUGACAGGAAUCAAUCAAAACAAUCGAAUUUUGAAUUGAGUAAAGUGCAAUUUCAUUGGAUAGCUAAAUAUCUUUGUAAGAUAGAGAUUGUUGAAAAUUCUAUUUUUGUUUUUCAAGUCCUUCCACCCCAGGACUCUAAAUUAUUGGGGUAAAAAACAGCCUUGCAAGAAAAAGGGGAGCUAUUUUUGCUUUUUAUGUUUUUUAUUGUUAAACUUGUAUCCCUUUAAAAACUGAAGGAAAAUUUAAAAAAAAAACAAAAAAACAAAUCUAAUGGUGCUUUUACCACAAUAUGUUAACUACAUUAAAUGCUAAUUAAUUAUUUUCUGUUAUCAAAGCACAUAACUAAAAUGAAAUCAUGGUAUCUGUUAAUUUUAUAAGCUAGAAGUCACUAUAAUGGAUAAUGCCAAUUCUGAGAAUAUUUACAUGUAUUCGGCAACAUAGGAUUUAUCAGUUAUCAGACACUUCAUUGUACCAGAGAUUGUCCAGAAAUUUUAAAGACCUUUGCGCCCCUGAACUGGGCUAUGGGAAAAAAAUAAUAAUAAAAAUGAAACCAAUACUGACACAAAUGCUGGUACCCAUUCAGAUCAGGGUACUUGUUAGGGAAAAAAAGUUUGCACCCCCAAAUGUCCUGUAUCUUAUGUAAAAAAACACAAAAAACAAACAAAAAAAAAAAACAAAAAAAGUGCAAGUGAUUUUUCUACCAGACAGCGAAGCGCGCCUUGCUUCCCGGGCACCGUCAAGAAGGUUCCUGUGCUGUACGUAGAUACGCAUCCUGGCGGCAGCCCGCCAGGGAGAGGCUCUGCAUGUUCUAGUGUUAGUCGCUAAUUUUUAUAUAGUUAAUGUAGGAUAAAGUAGAAUGCAUUAAGACACAAUAUUGUAAUCCCUCCUUAGGCACUUGCCUUUAAACUAUGUUUCCAGCCCUUCAGAAGGGUUCUACUGCUGUCCUAUACAAUCAAGUAACUGAAAUUCUUGGGAAGACACUUUGCUCCUCAUCUUUCCCCCAAAACGAUGUUGUUUUGUUUUGUUUUUUUUCCUUAAUUUGCACGAAAACAAAAAUUCCAUAUCAAUGUGCCUUGCCCUGGAUAGCGAUUAUUUGUGGAAUUGUUGCACACGCUCCUCUAUUGAAAGGGGUUUUCCCUCGUCAAGCAUUUGGAGACACUUUUUGUAAAUGUGACUUUACGUCGGCCAUCGUCAGUUUCCACACCUAGCACUGAGUAGGGUUAGUCGUUCCGCAGAUAGGCGUAGUCUUUAUUGUCCUCGUGGUCAGUGGCAGUGCUAUUCUGAGAUCUGUAGAUGCUUAGAAUAUCAGUAUUUUGGAUGUUGCUGCAUUUUACAAUUUAUUUGGAGUCUUCCUUUAUUUUCCCCCCAGAUAUAUGAAAAUAUGCAAUACCUGCUUAUAUCGUGUAGAAAAGCUUAGCGAUUAUUAAUUUUUCUUUUAUUUUUUUUAUUUGACCAAAGUCAGUGCUGCACUUGACGCAGUGUGUUUUAGAUGUUUGUCUUUGUACUUUUUUUUGUGAUUUUUGAAUGCACGUGUGCAGGAAGGGCUCCUCUUAGAGAAGCAGUCAAACUGUGAAGCACUGAGCUGACCCUGCUUCAAGCAAUUUUGUUUUUACAACUGUUCCUUUCACAAGCAAGCCUUAAAAAAAAAGACAACUUCCUUUUUCUUCAGCUCCCACACCCCAUUUUUCUUAGCAGACUGCAGUCAAUCCACAUUCAAUGAAAGUAUAUAAUGCCCAUUUUUAUAUGCACGUUUUUAAACUUCCAAGUUCUGAAAAUUGUUUACUGGUUAUCUCUAUUUAAGGAAAAAAAAAUAAAAUAAAACAUUUUGGAUUUUCA
RNA transcript from Equus quagga, 4547 nucleotides. It is a transcript of the gene named nuclear factor I A, with no coding region annotated. The record is from RefSeq and is a predicted model, not a curated record. Lineage: Eukaryota; Metazoa; Chordata; Mammalia; Perissodactyla; Equidae. The transcript has 12 exons.